Molecule: ribosomal RNA, 253 nt
Filed under: uncultured bacterium
Lineage: Bacteria
Description: partial 16S ribosomal RNA
Rfam family: Bacterial small subunit ribosomal RNA
Source: RNAcentral
UACGUAGGGGGCAAGCGUUGUCCGGAAUCAUUGGGCGUAAAGAGCGCGUAGGCGGCCCUGUAAGUCCGCUGUGAAAGUCAAGGGCUCAACCCUUGAAUGCCGGUGGAUACUGCAGGGCUAGAGUCCGGAAGAGGCGAGUGGAAUUCCUGGUGUAGCGGUGAAAUGCGCAGAUAUCAGGAAGAACACCCGUGGCGAAGGCGGUUCUCUGGGACGGUACUGACGCUGAGACGCGAAAGCGUGGGGAGCGAACAGG